Molecule: ribosomal RNA, 238 nt
Filed under: Pelobates cultripes (western spadefoot toad)
Lineage: Eukaryota; Metazoa; Chordata; Amphibia; Anura; Pelobatidae
Description: SSU_rRNA_eukarya
Source: RNAcentral
ACAGCACAUUGUUCUUGUAAAGGGGAUCCAGCAGGGUGGCCACCCAGUAAUCAGCACAAGUUAGAAUGUGGGCAACUUGGCAGUCGUUGCACAGGCACUUUGAUGACUCUAGAUAACCUCGGGCUGAUCGCACGUCCCUGUGACGGCGACGACACAUUCGGAUGUCUGCCCUAUCAACUUUCUAUGGUACUUUUUGCCCCUACCAUGGUGACCACGGGUAACUGGGAAUCGAUUCCUG